RNAcentral lists this ribosomal RNA (497 nucleotides) under uncultured bacterium. RNAcentral's name for it is "partial 16S ribosomal RNA". It matches the Rfam family "Bacterial small subunit ribosomal RNA", at positions 28 to 507 of the family's 1533-position model. The record is from RNAcentral.
GACGAACGCUGGCGGCGUGCCUAAUACAUGCAAGUUGAGCGCUGAAGGUUGGUACUUGUACCAACUGGAUGAGCAGCGAACGGGUGAGUAACGCGUGGGGAAUCUGCCUUUGAGCGGGGGACAACAUUUGGAAACGAAUGCUAAUACCGCAUAAAAACUUUAAACACAAGUUUUAAGUUUGAAAGAUGCAAUUGCAUCACUCAAAGAUGAUCCCGCGUUGUAUUAGCUAGUUGGUGAGGUAAAGGCUCACCAAGGCGAUGAUACAUAGCCGACCUGAGAGGGUGGUCGGCCACAUUGGGACUGAGACACGGCCCAAACUCCUACGGGAGGCAGCAGUAGGGAAUCUUCGGCAAUGGACGAAAGUCUGACCGAGCAACGCCGCGUGAGGGAAGAAGGUUUUCGGAUCGUAAAACUCUGUUGGUAGAGAAGAACGUUGGUGAGAGUGGAAAGCUCAUCAAGUGACGGUAACUACCCAGAAAGGGACGGCUAACUACGUG